AGAGUUCGAUCCGGGCUCAGAAUGAACGUUGGCGGCGUGGAUUAGGCAUGCAAGUCGAGCGGCAAGGUUGUUUUCGGAUGACCCUAGAGCGGCGGAAGGGAUAGGAAUUUAUAGGUAACAUGCCUCUUAGGUCUGGAUAGCGUCUGGAAACGGACGAUAAUACAGGAUGAGGUCUUCGGACCAAAGGUGGGAUUCCCCUAGGAGAUUGGCCUAUAACCUAUUAGCUAGUUGGUAGGGUAACGGCUUACCAAGGCGAUGAUGGGUACGGGGCGUGAGAGCGUGACCCCGAUCACUGGGACUGAGACACUGCCCAGACGCCUACGGGCGGCUGCAGUCGAGAAUCUUCGGCAAUGGACGGAAGUCUGACCGAGCGACGCCGCGUGUAUGAUGAAGGUCUUCGGAUUGUAAAAUACUGUCGAUAGGGCGGAAAUUUAGGAGGGCUAUCCCUCUUAUUUGACCUAUCUUUUGAGGAAGGACGGGCUAAGUUCGUGCCAGCAGCCGCGGUAAGACGAACUGUUCUAACGUUAUUCGGAAUCACUGGGCUUAAAGGGCGCGUAGGCUGUCUGUUAAGCGGGGUCUGAAAUCCCUCGGCUCAACCGAGGAACUGGGCUUCGAACUGGCAGACUAGAGUGAAGUAGGGGUAAGCGGAACUUGCGGUGGAGCGGUGAAAUGCUUUGAUAUCGCAAGGAACACCGGCGGCGAAGGCGGCUUACUGGGCUUCAACUGACGCUUAAGCGCGAAAGCUAGGGUAGCGAACGGGAUUAGAUACCCCGGUAGUCCUAGCCGUAAACUAUGAGCGUUGGUUUGAGGGAGGUUUUUUUUUUUUCGAGCGUAGCGAAAGUUUUAAGCGCUCCGCCUGGGGAGUAGGGUCGCAAGGCUGAAACUCAAAGGAAUUGACGGGGGCUCACACAAGCGGUGGAGGAUGUGGCUUAAUUCGAUGCUCCGCGAAGAACCUUACCUGGGUUUGACAUAACAGUGGUAGAGAAGUGAAAACGGAUCGACCCUUCGGGGAGCUGUUACAGGUGUUGCAUGCCUGUCGUCAGCUCGUGUCGUGAGAUGUUCGGUUAAGUCCGCUAACGAGCGCAACCCGCGCUGUGUGUUACAAG
This 1106-nucleotide ribosomal RNA is filed under the name uncultured bacterium. RNAcentral's name for it is "bacterial SSU rRNA". It matches the Rfam family "Bacterial small subunit ribosomal RNA", at positions 8 to 1121 of the family's 1533-position model. The record is from RNAcentral.